Long non-coding RNA from Octopus sinensis (East Asian common octopus), 560 nucleotides. RefSeq lists it as uncharacterized. The transcript is spliced from 2 exons. NCBI's taxonomy places the organism in Eukaryota, Metazoa, Mollusca, Cephalopoda, Octopoda, Octopodidae. The record is from RefSeq and is a predicted model, not a curated record.
AAAAUGUAUUGUUUUUAAUGUGCACAGCAUAUGACCAAUGAAUUAUAACUUCCAUAUGUUCUAUUGCACUCCAACACAGAUUCCUGGAAAGAAAAAUUUAUGUUAUUCUACUUAUAAUGCUUCCGAACAAGUGGUUUGCAUGUAAAAAUUGAUUUUAAAUAAUCAUUAUGUAAUUAUCACUGAAACCUGUGCAAAGAUGUUAUAAGUCAUUCAUUCCAUACUAUAUAGUCAUGUAAGAAUUUUAUGUUUGCAUAUCACCAUUUGAAAUGGAUGUUAAAUGGUGGUGAUGAUGGUGAUAUAUAUAUGUAUGUGUGUAUAUGUAUAUAUGUGUGUAUAUAUAUAUAUAUAAAGAUACAUGUGCUCCCAGUGAUACAUUCUGAUUUAUCUCUCAUGAAAUAUAUAAUCACAGAGGACUCCAUGAAUAAUUAAUGAUUAAUGCUCAGCUGAAAUGUCUAGAACUCUGUCAGUAGCUUACAUGAUUUAUGUAACACAAUUCAGCAAGUCAAAAAUCUCACAAGAAAAGCAUUUGUGAAAGUUUCCUAUAUAUAUAUAUGUUUUUU